UGGGGGAUAUUGCACAAUGGGCGAAAGCCUGAUGCAGCGACGCCGCGUGGGGGAUGAAGGCUUUCGGGUUGUAAACCUCUUUCGCUAUCGAACAAGGCCCGCUUAGGGUGGGUUGAGGGUAGGUGGAGAAGAAGCGCCGGCUAACUACGUGCCAGCAGCCGCGGUAGUACGUAGGGCGUGAGCGUUGUCCGGAAUUAUUGGGCGUAAAGGGCUUGUAGGCGGCUUGUUGCGCCUGCUGUGAAAACGCGGGGCUUAACUUCGCGCGUGCAGGGGGUACGGGCAGGCUUGAGUGUGGUAGGGGUGACUGGAAUUCCAGGUGUAGCGGUGGAAUGCGCAGAUAUCUGGAGGAACACCGAUAGCGAAGGCAGGUCACUGGGCCAUUACUGACGCUGAGGAGCGAAAGCAUGGGUAGCGAACAGG
Molecule: ribosomal RNA, 420 nt
Filed under: bacterium
Lineage: Bacteria
Description: partial 16S ribosomal RNA
Rfam family: Bacterial small subunit ribosomal RNA
Source: RNAcentral